Molecule: ribosomal RNA, 492 nt
Filed under: uncultured bacterium
Lineage: Bacteria
Description: partial 16S ribosomal RNA
Rfam family: Bacterial small subunit ribosomal RNA
Source: RNAcentral
AGUGAACGCUGGCGGUAGGCCUAACACAUGCAAGUCGAACGGCAGCACAGUAAGAGCUUGCUCUUACGGGUGGCGAGUGGCGGACGGGUGAGGAAUACAUCGGAAUCUACUUUUUCGUGGGGGAUAACGUAGGGAAACUUACGCUAAUACCGCAUACGACCUACGGGUGAAAGCAGGGGAUCUUCGGACCUUGCGCGAUUGAAUGAGCCGAUGUCGGAUUAGCUAGUUGCCGGGGUAAAGGCCCACCAAGGCGACGAUCCGUAGCUGGUCUGAGAGGAUGAUCAGCCACACUGGAACUGAGACACGGUCCAGACUCCUACGGGAGGCAGCAGUGGGGAAUAUUGGACAAUGGGCGCAAGCCUGAUCCAGCCAUACCGCGUGGGUGAAGAAGGCCUUCGGGUUGUAAAGCCCUUUUGUUGGGAAAGAAAAGCAGCAGGUUAAUACCCCGCUGUUCUGACGGUACCCAAAGAAUAAGCACCGGCUAACUUCGUG